This is a long non-coding RNA of Eptesicus fuscus (big brown bat), 409 nucleotides long. RefSeq lists it as uncharacterized. Lineage: Eukaryota; Metazoa; Chordata; Mammalia; Chiroptera; Vespertilionidae. The record is from RefSeq and is a predicted model, not a curated record. The transcript is spliced from 3 exons.
GAGGCUCUUCCACAUCCUGCUGCUACCUCUCUGCCUGCUCUUUGCCCAGGUGGGCCCAGCCACAGUGGUCACCAACCUCAGACAAGAGCACAGACCUCAGACAGAAAACAAAGAGCUGAGUCAGAGGAAAAAGGCCUCAGACCGAGGGCACAGACCUCAGACGGAAACAAAGACCUGAGGCAGAGGAAAAAGGCCUCAGACGGAGGGCACAGGCCUCAGACGGAGGGCACAGGCCUCAGACGGAGGGUACAGGCCUCAGACGGAGGACAGACAUCAGACGGAGACCUCAGACGGAGGGCAUAGACCUCAGACGGAGGGCACAGUUCUUUGCAUGAGCAGCCCCAGAGGUACUGGCCUCCUCGCGAGUCUGAUAUACAGGAAUCCAGAAUACAUAUGUGCCAAAAAGGGG